Molecule: ribosomal RNA, 1439 nt
Filed under: metagenome
Description: bacterial SSU rRNA
Rfam family: Bacterial small subunit ribosomal RNA
Source: RNAcentral
GCGGCGAACGGGUGAGUAACGCGUGGGCAAUCUGCCCCCAAGUUGGGAAUAGCCCGCCGAAAGGUGGGUUAAUGCCGAAUGUGGUCGUCCCGCAUAAGCGGGACUGUCUAAAGGUGGGGAUCCUUCGGGACCUGCCGCUUGGAGAUGAGCCCGCGUCCCAUCAGCUAGUUGGCGAGGUAACGGCUCACCAAGGCUAUAACGGGUAGCUGGUCUGAGAGGAUGGUCAGCCACACUGGGACUGAGACACUGCCCAGACUCCUACGGGAGGCUGCAGUCGAGAAUCAUUCGCAAUGCGCGAAAGCGUGACGAUGCGACGCCGCGUGCAGGAUGAAGGCCUUCGGGUUGUAAACUGCUGUCAGGAGGGAAAAACGACCCGGCCGCGAAUAGCGGCAGGGAGUGAUGGUACCUCCAGAGGAAGCCACGGCUAACUCUGUGCCAGCAGCCGCGGUAAUACAGAGGUGGCGAGCGUUGUUCGGAUUUACUGGGCGUAAAGGGUGCGUAGGCGGCAUGGUAUGUCGGAUGUGAAAUCUCACUGUUCAACGGUGAAACGGCAUUCGAAACUGCGAUGCUCGAGUACAGGAGAGGAGAGCGGAAUUCCCGGUGUAGCGGUGAAAUGCGUAGAUAUCGGGAGGAACGCCGGUGGCGAAAGCGGCUCUCUGGACUGAUACUGACGCUGAGGCACGAAAGCUGGGGGAGCAAACAGGAUUAGAUACCCUGGUAGUCCCAGCCGUAAACGGUGUGCACUAGGUGUGGGAGGACAUUGUCCCCUCCCGUGCCGGAGUUAACGCGUUAAGUACACCGCCUGGGGAGUACGGUCGCAAGGCUAAAACUCAAAGGAAUUGACGGGGGCCCGCACAAGCGGUGGAGCAUGUGGCUUAAUUCGAUGCAACGCGAAGAACCUUACCAGGGCUUGACAUGCCCGUCGUACCCCGGUGAAAGCCGGGGGUCAGUUCGGCUGGACGGUGCACAGGUGCUGCAUGGCUGUCGUCAGCUCGUGCCGUGAGGUGUUGGGUUAAGUCCCGCAACGAGCGCAACCCUUGUGGUUAGUUGCUACUUUCGCCGAAAGGCGGGAAGCACUCUAAUCAGACUGCCUGUGAUAAGCAGGAGGAAGGUGGGGAUGACGUCAAGUCAGUAUGGUCCUUAUGCCCUGGGCUGCACACGUGCUACAAUGGCCGGUACAGUGGGAUGCGAUACCGCGAGGUGGAGCAAAUCCUCAAAACCGGCCCCAGUUCAGAUCGGAGUCUGCAACCCGACUCCGUGAAGCCGGAAUCGCUAGUAAAGGCGCAUCAGCUACGGCGCCUUGAAUACGUUCCCGGGCCUUGUACACACCGCCCGUCACAUCACGAAAGCCGACUGCACCCGAAGUCGCUGAUCCGACCCGCAAGGGGGGAAGGUGCCGAAGGUGUGGUUGGUGAUUGGGAUGAAGUCGUAACAAGGUA